AGACGGGGCCCCUGCGACAGUCUACAAGACAGACAGGGCCCCUGCCCUUUGGACAUCCAUCUGAGUGGGAAAGACAGACAACAAACAGGAAAAAGGGGGUCCUGGCUGAGGAGCUGGUUGGGAGGAGCAUUCUAAUAUGGGAGGGUCUUCUGGGCUUGCAGAGUGCUGUGGAAGUGAGCAGGGAGAUGGGCUCAGAGAGGCCAGCAAAUGCGAAAGGAGGUGUGAGCAUCGUGGAGCUCCAUGAAGACAGGGACCAUGGCCCAUUUGCCCUCCUGGAAUCCUCAGUGCCUGGUCCAGAGCAAGAGCUCAUUAAACAUUGAAGGAACGAAUGAAUGAAUAAGUGAAAUAAUGCUGACUGAGAUAUGGGACAGAGCUGGGGGCUUCAGAGCUGGCCUUGCCUCUGUGGUGCCCCCUGCCAUCCACUGUUCCACGGGAGAUGGACGUCAGCCCCACACUGGCUAGCUCUGUUCCACUCACAUUCAUUCUCUGGUGUUUCCCAGUCCUCCCCCAGAGCCACCGCCUCCAGCCUCCCCUGGCUCAGGGCCAGGCAGCUCUAUCCUCCUGCCGGCUCCUCACUUGGCAGUUUGUCGAGUGGAGACAUCAAGUGGUCAGACCUUGGAAUGGCAGCGGUCAAGCUGAAGAUGGGGAGUGACUGAGCCCUCAUUCAGGAGGACUGAUCCAGCCACAGAUGGGUCUUGACCCUGUGUCCACACUGAACCUUAUCUUGGCUGAGCCCAGACUCCAGCCCGAGAACAAACUCUAACCCUGGUCACAGACUGAGGCCCUGUGCCCCCAAAUACCCCUAAUUUAAAAUUUGUGCUGUAAUGACCUGACACCACUUAAAAAACCUUUUUAUUGAAAUGUAACAUAACAUUGCGAAAAGUGCCCACGUCACAAGAAUUUUCAGGAACUAAACACAUCCAUGUAAUCGAUGCUCACUGCCAGCAUCCCAGUAGCCUUCUCGCAUACCCUUCCAGUCACAACCUCCCAAGGCAAACACUCUCCUGCCUUCUAGCAGCAUAUCUUAAGUUUUGUCUGUUUUCAUGCUUCUAUAUGUUUGAAAUCAUACACUAUAUCCCUUCUGACAUCUGAUUUCUUUUGCUCACCAUUGUGUUGGUAAAAUUAAUCCAUAUUUCUCUGUGUAGUGGUUGAUAGUUCAUACACACUGGUGCCCACUGUUUUACCAACCCACUGAGAAUCUAGCCAAAGGGGUUGAACCCACAUCCGAUCAAGCCUCUGGAUCCAGCUGCCAACUUGCAGGAAGCACAGAGGCAAAAAUUUAUACAUCUCCCAAACCCAUAAACUCAUAAAGGACCACUUCCAUCACUUAACUGCUUGUUCUUAGUAACCCUUAUCUGAAUAGGUAUUUUGUAGCACUUAACUUUGGAGAAUUCACCAGAAAAUAACUGUUUUUACUAAACUGGGCUUCAGCAUUAUACUGUGGGCCUUCAUCAAGAAGAAUUAUGAGAAACAGCCCUAGGAAACCGGUUGCUGGAUUUACCAUCAGGAUCUUGCUGAGGACAGUGUUCAUUCAUUUUGUUCACAGUAGCCUCUCCAUGAGAACUCCAGAAUAAAUUUCUUCCGCAUCCUAAUAAUAUGAAUAGAUAUUUCCCCACAGAGGAAAUGGUUUUACUUUCAGCUAACAGGGCUUUUGAAUCAUGUGAUGGAUCUUGUUUCCCUUUUCACAAUGGUUGCUAGGAAGCUCAGAGUCAGAUUUGUGACCCAUGCCUAGGACUGGGUGAGCUGUGUUGUCUGCACUAAACUCACCCCUGGUUGUUCUUAACUUUCCUUCUCCCAUUUCCUUUUUGUCCCUAUUUCUUCACCUUCCUAUUUUUUGCCUUUUUACUCUUGAAUUGUUAGUUUUUGGGGGAUGCAGUGAGGUGGCCACCUCAGGAACAUAGAAAUGAGAGUAACAAGGGUGUCUAUGAGAGUUAAAUGCAAGGAUCAGCCCAGUCUGUUUGGAGCAGAGAAGUGCAAAGUCUCCAGAUGGAGACAGGACAGCUUCCUGGCACAACACUUGAUUGUAACCUGGGUUUGUGUGGUCCCCAGCAGUGUCCUCGUUCCCCAGCACGGCCUUCUCUCCACACUCCUACCCCACAAUUAACAGACUAAGUUCUGAUCUUGAUAUUUGACCGACUUCCCCCUUCAGACUGUGAGGGUUGCCCACUUCCUAUGUGUGUGUGUGUCCUGCAAUCAAGUGCAACAAUCAACCUGCUACUUAAACAAGAGGAGAUUUAGGACUUUCAGCUAAAAGAACCAUUUUUACAAGAGGGACACUUGAUUGGUUCCUAGCUGUGGUAGCUUACAAGGACUGGGGGCUGGAGGGUCUCCUGAGCAUCUCUGCCUUGUCUUCCUGCACUGUCUCUGUGGCUGGGAGUCCGGACCCAGAGCCAGCAAGUCAGAUAAAGCAGGAGAGGGCGACAUGAUCUGGGCCCCUGGGCACGCCAGUGUUUUCUUUGUUUGCGUCUCUUUUAUACUUUCUGCAGAGCUGGAAGGCAGCUUUUCAAAAUGGCCAUUGCUUCUUUGGGCCAUCUCAGUAGGUAAAGAAACGGUCUUUCUAAUCGCAAGUGAGCAAGGAGGUGUCACAAAGUCUUCCACAUUUCCCCCAGCAGGCAAAGCUCAGUGCUGGCUGCUGUCCUUAACCCUUGCCCCUUGGCUGGUGUCACAGGUGAACAUUAGGACCACAGAGAGUGAGCAUAAUGUCUUGUCUAAACUUUGUAAGGAUCCAAAGGGAUGAUUCACUUUAUCUUCUGAUAGGACAUUUUGUCAAAAUUUCUUUGGACUGGGAAGCAGGGCUGUUUUCCUGGUCAUAAGGGCCCCCCUUGGUAGAGCAGACAGCAGGGGACUCAGCAUCCUAGGAGUUUCUAACGAUGGCCUCCGUGCUAGGCAGAAUAAUGGUCUCCCCAGAUAGCUGCAUCUUAACCCUAGGAAUUUGUGACUGUGUUGCCUCACGUGGCAGAAGGCACUCUGCAGACGUGAUUAGGUUAAGGAUCCUGAGAUGGGAACUUUAGCCUGGAUUAUCCAGGUGGGCCCAAUGGAAUCACAAAGUCCUGGUAAGAGGCAGGCAGGGUCAAAGUCAGAGAAGGAGAAAUAAGGACAGGAAGCAGAGUCCUGUGAUGCAACUGCUGGCUUAAAGAGGCAUGAGGGCCAUGAGCCAUGGAAUGUGGGCAGCUACUAGAAGCUGGAAAGGCCAGGAUCAGAUUCUACUCGGAGCCUCCAGAAGGAAGACGGCUCUGCUGGCCCCUUGAUUUCAGAUCAGAAAAUCGUCACAGAGACCAAUUAAGAAGCUUGCAUGUAAAAAGUGGCAGAGCUGGGAUCCGAACCCUGGCAGUCUGGCUCUGGACACCACCUCUUGCCCAUCGCCCUCCACUGCUGUGCUGAUCUGUCGUCCUUCCCUCCCACUGCCAGUUCCCCUUUCCGUCCAACAGUUACUUAUUGAUCAGUCGCUCUGUUCCAAGCACUGUGCCAGUAGGGCCCAGCCCUUGUGGAGGUGACAGUCUGUCAGGUGGAGCCCUGGCUCUGCCAUGUCCUGAUCCCGUGACCUUGGAGAAGUCAUUUAACUUCGCUGUGUCUCAGUGUCUUCGUGAUGACAUGGUGUGAUAGUCCCGGUCUCCUCAGGCUGUGGGGAAGAUGGAGUGACUCAAAGCUGCGGAAAGCUGGGGCCGGGCACACGGAGGGCAUGGGAAGCAUGAGUGUAAUCCUAUUGGUGUCAUACUGGAGAAGCUCUUCCAACCCACGGGGCCUGGCCGCCAAGUGGAAGAGUGGAAGCAGCAGCAAGCCAGAGCCCGACACCCUGGCCUUAAGCCCUGGCUUUGGCACCGUGACUGUCCCAAACAUGGGAUUUUGGACAAGCUGCUUCGUCUUUCUGAUUUUUUUCCUCUGUAAAACAGGAAUGACUAAUACCAACCUUGUGGUGUCCUUGUGGUUGUUCAAUGAAGUAACAAGGCUGAGAGCUUGGCACAUAAUAGGGGCCUUUGGAAGAUUUCGUUUCCUGUCCUCUAGAGGAAUCGGGAGGCGGAAUAGCCCAGGGGUCAGCACAUCUGGAGGUCUGACGUGUCCCCUUCUCCCAGGGAAGGCCCCGACCUGACACGCUGCAGGAUGCUGUUUUCUUCUUUCGCUUCCUUUCUUUGUUCCUGUUCGAAUUUCGUUUCUUGAGAAAGAAGAGUGUUUCACACAGCCCCGCCCAUGCAUGGGGCUCUGUGUUAACUGUCCUGGUGCCUGGCAGAGGGCUCCGUCUUGGUCUUUUGUCCCCCAGGGCAGAUGGAGGACAGUUGGUGGGUGUGGGGUCGCAGGGCUGCUCUGCUCGUAAGGCCCCGAGAAACCAGAGGGCAGGCUGGGAGCUGAGGGCUGAGAGGCAGCUGAGGACUGGGAAGCCCCGUCUGGUCCAGCCUCCUCCAAGGUCAAGGGGUGUCCUGGCCCCCCUCUCUCCCCUCCCAU
Long non-coding RNA from Equus caballus (horse), 4437 nucleotides. The record is from Ensembl. NCBI's taxonomy places the organism in Eukaryota, Metazoa, Chordata, Mammalia, Perissodactyla, Equidae.